AGUAUAUAUUAUAUAUAAUGAUUAAUAAUUAAUAUACGUAACAAGUAAUUACUUACAUCUAUGUAUUCCCAUUAAUAUAAUACAUGAUUUUUAACAGGAAUAAUAGGAUAUUAGCAAUAACAGAAUAGGAAUAAUAAUAAUAAUAGCAUGUAGUGAUAUAUUACUGUGCUUAUUAUUAUUGUUAUAAUAAUUACUACUCCUAGUACUCAUUUACUGAGGCUUGUACAGGUCAAGCUGCGUGGCCCGGCUGUGGUCGCAGGCCCGUUGGCAGAGGUCUCGUGACAGGUUGGCCGAGGAAGCGUAACGAUCCCCUUGCUCCCAGCCGCGCUCCCUCAGGCCAAGGCGGCCGCACUUGGCAGCGCCGUGCGGGGAGGAGUCCGUCCCCAGUCCAGGCACAGACACCCUUUGCCAGGCUGAGGAAGCAUCUGCAGUUGGUGUGUGCUCUUCCUGGAUGGAAUGAGUAAUAAAGAAGCCGGAGGCUGAUAGACCUUGGGAUCAAGACAAAUACGAUUUGGCUGCUAAUGGAUAGCACCAGAUGGAGUUCUUUUCCAUUUCUUAAAUAACUAAAGUGGACAAUUUUGGUAUUCACCAACAGCAGAUAGUACACACAAGCACUUGGCAGUGGUGGAUAUUACCAUAAUGGGGAUGACAACUAUAGAAACACAGACGACGAGCAAGGAGCACAGAUCCACACAGGAGAUUAUUUUGGUGCACGUCACUCCCACAAUGUACCGCACAAAAUCAGCUGACUGCGGGCUUCCACCACACCAAUCGCGUAAGAGUGAAUUUACCUAGCAUAUAAUGAAUUUUUGUUAUAAAAAGGGUCAUCGCAUAAGAGUGAAUGCGCACAUAACAGAACCUGCAUAAAGCGAGGGGAAACCUUGCCCAGAGCAUCCUCCAUUGUGGUACACAGAAGAUCUCUGGUGUUUCUCAUUAAAAUGGGUCACAGCUUAUAGAGGAGUAAGGCUGGACGAAACCUCAAGAGAUCAUCACAUCCAGCGGGGAAUAGAUAGAACCCAUGACCUUAGCACCGCGCUCUAACCAACUCUCACCGUACAAACCAGGAAAUCAUUUGUCCUCUCCUCUCCCAUUCGAUAGGAGCUAGGAGCAUCGUGGGCGGUUAGCACCGAGCACUGUGUUUGAUUUCCUCUUGUUUUGGAAUUCGUUACAAGUUUUCCUGAGUCACUGAAACACUCGGUGAAGUAAGCUGGCUCUAAGUUUAGAGCUGUAUAUUGCUAUUCCUGGCCACCUGGGCUUUACAUUUCCUAACAAACAAUAGUCCUCUGCCAGUUCAGUCAGAAAGUUGUAGAUGGAGAUAGGUCCGUGACCAAGCUUGGCCUCUUGGAUUAAGACAAGGGGGGACUGUUCCUUUCUUAUCCUAAUUUUACUUGGCAAAGGCCCUUCAAAGAGACAGCUGGCUCUUUUGGCCUUGCUUGCUGGGUUCAAACUGGCUGCCCCUGGCCUGUAUAGCCACUGGAAGGCCCCGCUGUUCCAUCAGCAUCUACUGAGUGUCCUCUCUAGGUAGUCGUCCUUAGAUGUCUACACUUACUUUUUUCUCAGUCUGACACUUUCUACAGGGUGAGAUGAACCAUGCUGGCAGGGCAAACACUUUGAGCCCAAUCUGAUAUAUUGAAGUUCCUCUGCCCUUCCCCUGGCAAAAAUAAGAGGCUUGAAUGAGUAUUAUGGAAUAAAGCUUCACAGUUUGUCCGCUCACUUGUACACAUCAUUCCUUUUUCUCCUCCAGCUAAUCUUUGUUUCUCACUGUCAUACUUACAGUUCUGCUUUCUUUUCCUCCACCUCGUUUUUUCUUUUUUUUUUCUGUUGCUCUGCCUCCUUUUUCAUCCCCCUAUUUAAUUUUGCUUUGUGAUUUAGCCUUGAUUUCUGAAUAAUCAUCUCUAUUUAGGUACUCUAUCCUUCUGCCAGUAUAUUGUGCAUCUAUUAGAAUAUUGAUUGCUAGAGAGUAAAGUAUAAAAAAAUCAAUAUUCCAUUAAAGGGAGUGGAGUGAUGGUCAAAUUCUCUUGGGGUAGCAUCUAAAACUAAAAGUAUAUUUUUCUGCAGACUGUCUAUGCUACAUAGAUAGAAGAGAGAGAAAGGAGGUGUGUAUUUUUUUUGCAUUCAUGACUAGAAGACCAUGGGGAAAAAAGGUGGCACAAUGGAAAGAUGUGUUUUGAUUUAUUCUGCCAGCUGCAGUUUAGUGUUAUCUAUAACACUAAACUGCAAAUCAGAAUUCAGAUUCUAUAACAAAUGUUAUAGAAUUUGCAAAUAAAAUCAAAUUCUAUAACAGUAUAAAAGUAAAUGUGUUGUCUGUCAUGUACUUAGUAAAAAUAUUGCAAUCUUAGUAAUCUGAUAUUUUACUACAGUGUCUGCUGCUAAAUUCUUGCAGAGAAGUGUGGAAAGACCACUGAUUUUAUCAAUAUGAAAUAUAUGCAGAGUGCAUAUAUACAUAAUACGCAUGCAUUUACCAACCACCUUUGUCUGCCUCACCUGCCCUCUGAUCUGUCCAUGAGGACUACUUCUAACUCUGAAGUUGGACCACACUAACUCUGAAGUUGCUAUCAAAGAUCUGUAUUUCUGCCCCACUUUCCAUCUGUAUCACAUGACUGCCCCCAAAGGUUCCUCAGCACAGUCCACUCACAAGUUGUUUCAUUAGAAGAAGACAACCUGAUUCACUCCCUGGUUAGUGAUGGACCAGUAAGCAACAUCCUGUUCUCUCCUGAGAUACUGAGCAGUCUUGCUGGCUCUUUUAUUCCCUUCUGCCCUCCUUUAUUCUGAACUGUGGAGUCAAGACCAAUAUAUAACAGGAGUUUUCAAACUUUUUAAAGAA
Alligator mississippiensis (American alligator) is the source of this 2824-nucleotide long non-coding RNA. RefSeq lists it as uncharacterized. Lineage: Eukaryota; Metazoa; Chordata; Crocodylia; Alligatoridae. The record is from RefSeq and is a predicted model, not a curated record. The transcript has 4 exons.